AUUGAACGCUGGCGGCAGGCCUAACACAUGCAAGUCGAACGAGUGGCGGACGGGUGAGUAAUGUCUGGGAAACUGCCUGAUGGAGGGGGAUAACUACUGGAAACGGUAGCUAAUACCGCAUACCAUCGGAUGUGCCCAGAUGGGAUUAGCUAGUAGGUGGGGUAACGGCCCACCUAGGCGACGAUCCCUAGCUGGUCUGAGAGGAUGACCAGCCACACUGGAACUGAGACACGGUCCAGACUCCGACGGGAGGCAGCAGUGGGGAAUAUUGCACAAUGGGCGCAAGCCUGAUGCAGCCAUGCCGCGUGUAUGAAGAAGGCCUUCGGGUUGUAAAGUACUUUCAGCGAGGAGGCGUUACUCGAAGAGGAAGCACCGGCUAACUCCGUGCCAGCAGCCGCGGUAAUAC
Molecule: ribosomal RNA, 406 nt
Filed under: uncultured bacterium
Lineage: Bacteria
Description: partial 16S ribosomal RNA
Rfam family: Bacterial small subunit ribosomal RNA
Source: RNAcentral